This 60-nucleotide transfer RNA is filed under the name Dipodomys ordii (Ord's kangaroo rat). It matches the Rfam family "tRNA", at positions 7 to 64 of the family's 71-position model. Rfam says of the family: Transfer RNA (tRNA) molecules are approximately 80 nucleotides in length. Their secondary structure includes four short double-helical elements and three loops (D, anti-codon, and T loops). The record is from Rfam by way of RNAcentral. Lineage: Eukaryota; Metazoa; Chordata; Mammalia; Rodentia; Heteromyidae.
GUGGCUCCAUGGUAGAGCACUUGCCUUGCAUGCAAGAGGCCCUGGGUUCGAUUCCUCAGC